This 253-nucleotide ribosomal RNA is filed under the name uncultured bacterium. RNAcentral describes it as "partial 16S ribosomal RNA". It matches the Rfam family "Bacterial small subunit ribosomal RNA", at positions 524 to 776 of the family's 1533-position model. The record is from RNAcentral.
UACAGAGGUCUCAAGCGUUGUUCGGAUUCAUUGGGCGUAAAGGGUGCGUAGGCGGCGCGGUAAGUCGGGUGUGAAAUCUCGGAGCUUAACUCCGAAACUGCAUUCGAUACUGCCGUGCUUGAGGACUGGAGAGGAGACUGGAAUUUACGGUGUAGCGGUGAAAUGCGUAGAUAUCGUAAGGAAGACCAGUGGCGAAGGCGGGUCUCUGGGCCAAUACUGACGCUGAGGAGCGAAAGCGUGGGGAGCGAACAGG